ACGCAUGAUUACGGCGUCAAAAUGCGCAACGUGGUCAAGUUUCUCAACAACGGUGACAAAGUCAAAGUCACGCUGCGCUUUCGCGGCCGUGAGAUGGCGCACCAGAACUUGGGCCGCGAACUUCUGGAGCGUAUCGCAGAUGACGUGAUCGCAGCAGAGCUCGGCAAGAUCGAGAACUUCCCCAAGAUGGAAGGCCGCCAAAUGGUUAUGCUGAUCGGUCCAACCGCAAGCAAAUGAUCUCGCUCGCACGAAUAGACACGCCCCGCCUAAUCCGCGGGGCGUUUUGCGUUUGAAAGGAACCUCUCAUGUGGGAAGAGCGCUACAAAACCCCUGA
This 334-nucleotide unclassified non-coding RNA is filed under the name Lentibacter algarum. Its description in RNAcentral is "Long range pseudoknot". Lineage: Bacteria; Pseudomonadati; Pseudomonadota; Alphaproteobacteria; Rhodobacterales; Roseobacteraceae. The record is from RNAcentral.